This 387-nucleotide unclassified non-coding RNA is filed under the name Hevea brasiliensis (rubber tree). The record is from RNAcentral. Lineage: Eukaryota; Viridiplantae; Streptophyta; Magnoliopsida; Malpighiales; Euphorbiaceae.
CUGAUCAGCACCACAUCGCAAAAAAGAAGAAAAAGAAGAAGAGGAGGACUUACCCAGCAACGACGGCACUAGAUUAGCGGCGUGACGCCGGCAUUGCAGUGUUUUCGUGUCUGUACUACAUAGCAACUAGCACGGUGAAGCACAAAGAUCGGCAAAAACAACAGUAUGCUGCCGAUCUUCUUCCGCACCCGGAAUUGGAGCGUCGGCAGGCAGAAAGAUCGCAGGCUCUUGCAACAGCCAUUCAAGCACGAGCAUUUGCGAAAGCACCUACUGAAGCCCUUCUUCGUCCCGGUAAUUGUAAGCAUGCAAACGAUCCAUUUUUAGACUUAAAAGACUGUGCUAAUUGAGAAGACAGACCAUUUCAUUCAGAUAGGCCUCAUAUUGUAG